GGUACUGAGAAGAAAAAAUAGAGAUUUUAAGGAUUAUUUGAGGAACACGAUUGUGCAAGGCCUAAUGCCUCCUCACACGCCUCAGUGUGAAAAAAACUGUCCUGUGUGGCACACUGAACCCAGGGUGAAAAGUGCCGUGAUCACACCUCGACUGCUGCAGCUUUCCAAACCCAAACUCGCACAUCCGGACUUCCAGAGGAGCGGGGAGAGCGUUGCUUCCAUCGUCUCUCUCUCAUCCAGAAAAGCUCGCAUCUCGCAGAGACUCGUCCAGCUGUCGCUGCCCAGACUGAAGGAGAGCAACAUCUGCUGCACACUUGGACGUCCAGAGGAAUCCAUCUGGACUGUUUCAAGAGCAGCGAGGAGAGCCACAGCGAGCGCUCGCAUUGAGAUGCUGGCAGAACCAAAGCAGCUUUCCAAGGACUACAUCCCACCACGAGACCCAGAGUGGAGCCGGAAAAACGUCCAGUCCAUCUGAGUGCGUGUCACCAUCGAGUCGGUGUUUCACCAGACUGAACUCUUUGUGUUUUCCACCCCAGACUAAAGCAGAAACAUUUAAAGGUUGAAAUUCAGAUCCUGUAUUCAUGUUUCUGUGCUUUAUUUACAUUCACAGUCUCUUUAAUGAUAAUAAUGGCAGUUAUUUCAAGCGAGUUAUCACAGCUUGUGAACAGAAAAAGUAGUACCAAGAAUGAACCCCUGCAUCUACCUGCAGAGUGAGUUAAAGUCAGUUACUGUGAAAUUAAUGAUGAGCCAGAGAGAUCCAACAGGGAAACACUGGAGUGUCUGUCUCUGUGUGGCUCUGUUAUCAUCAUCAUCAGCAUGUCUAUGAAAUCUUAAAUGAGUUAGCGUUGGACUGGAUAUGGCUGACAUGAUAUAUUGCUGGUUUAAAUCUCUGAUGCCUUGGCAGAUUGAGGGAGUAAUGUUAAGAAUAAAAACAUGUCUGUGGCUCUCUCUGUCUACAGUCUGCAGCUUUUGUCUGAGCCUCGGCACGAUACUGCGAUCCACGUGGUUUUUCCUUUGCAGCCGAGCAGGAUUCUGCAUUUUAUUACAACCAUGUGUGUAUGAAUCCAUAAACACUGUCAGAGUCAUGACACAAAUCUCUCAGUAUUUUUUCCAGGGUAAAGUAGAAGCCAUUCA
Molecule: long non-coding RNA, 1134 nt
Organism: Oreochromis aureus
Lineage: Eukaryota; Metazoa; Chordata; Actinopteri; Cichliformes; Cichlidae
Source: Ensembl